UACGUAGGUGGCAAGCGUUGUCCGGAUUUACUGGGCGUAAAGAGCGCGCAGGCGGUCGGAUAAGUCGAAUGUGAAAGCCCCCGGCUCAACUGGGGAGGGUCAUUCGAUACUGUUCGACUCGAAGGCAGGAGAGGGAAGUGGAAUUCCCGGUGUAGUGGUGAAAUGCGUAGAGAUCGUGAGGAAGACCAGUGGCGAAGGCGGGUCUCUGGACAGUUCCUGACACUGAGGCACGAAGGCCAGGGGAGCAAACGGG
RNAcentral lists this ribosomal RNA (253 nucleotides) under uncultured bacterium. Its description in RNAcentral is "partial 16S ribosomal RNA". It matches the Rfam family "Bacterial small subunit ribosomal RNA", at positions 524 to 776 of the family's 1533-position model. The record is from RNAcentral.